ACAAAACUCUUCAGAUGAUCAUCUGUCACAAGACUACCCAACUCAACUAGUGGAGUCAACGGCUCACGAUGGAAACUGUAGGAACAGGUCUUCCGCUUCGGCUCGGGGACCGUUGCCAUCUCUAUCAGUAGUCAAGCUCGGGAAUGUACCUGAGAAAUGAUGUGCAUGCAGAGAUUAGUUUUUUUUCUUUUUUUUCUUUUUUUUUUCAAAAUUUUUUCAUUGCGUUUCUUUUGAAAAAUAAAUAUGCUAUGAUGCACAUGAUGC
This 264-nucleotide long non-coding RNA is filed under the name Lathyrus oleraceus (garden pea). RNAcentral's name for it is "Pisum sativum (pea) long non-coding RNA (PSAT_LNC032884)". The record is from RNAcentral. Lineage: Eukaryota; Viridiplantae; Streptophyta; Magnoliopsida; Fabales; Fabaceae.